Non-coding RNA from Podarcis lilfordi (Lilford's wall lizard), 70 nucleotides. Lineage: Eukaryota; Metazoa; Chordata; Lepidosauria; Squamata; Lacertidae. The record is from the annotation of a GenBank genome assembly.
GGAACAUAGUUCAGUGGCAGAACAUUUGCUUUUCAUGCAAAAAGUUCUAGAUUCAAUUCGAGUAUUUCCA